This 140-nucleotide microRNA precursor is filed under the name Prunus dulcis (almond). Its description in RNAcentral is "sRNA ncRNA". Lineage: Eukaryota; Viridiplantae; Streptophyta; Magnoliopsida; Rosales; Rosaceae. The record is from RNAcentral.
AAGAUGAGAGAAGAAGAUGAGAAGGAGGAGUAAUAACAAAAGUGCAAACAAAAACUGAAAUCUAUUUGAAAUUGUUUUCACUUUUAAGUUUUUGUUUUCACUUUUGUUACUCUUCCCUUCCAUCUUCCCCUCUCAUCUCU